GGUUAAGCGACUAAGCGUACACGGUGGAUGCCCUGGCAGUCAGAGGCGAUGAAGGACGUGCUAAUCUGCGAUAAGCGUCGGUGAGGUGAUAUGAACCGUUAUAACCGGCGAUUUCCGAAUGGGGAAACCCAGUGUGUUUCGACACACUAUCAUUAACUGAAUCCAUAGGUUAAUGAGGCGAACCGGGGGAACUGAAACAUCUAAGUACCCCGAGGAAAAGAAAUCAACCGAGAUUCCCCCAGUAGCGGCGAGCGAACGGGGAGGAGCCCAGAGCCUGAAUCAGUGUGUGUGUUAGUGGAAGCGUCUGGAAAGGCGCGCGAUACAGGGUGACAGCCCCGUACACAAAAAUGCACAUAUUGUGAGCUCGAUGAGUAGGGCGGGACACGUGGUAUCCUGUCUGAAUAUGGGGGGACCAUCCUCCAAGGCUAAAUACUCCUGACUGACCGAUAGUGAACCAGUACCGUGAGGGAAAGGCGAAAAGAACCCCGGCGAGGGGAGUGAAAAAGAACCUGAAACCGUGUACGUACAAGCAGUGGGAGCCUCUUAAUGGGGUGACUGCGUACCUUUUGUAUAAUGGGUCAGCGACUUAUAUUCUGUAGCAAGGUUAACCGAAUAGGGGAGCCGAAGGGAAACCGAGUCUUAACUGGGCGUUAAGUUGCAGGGUAUAGACCCGAAACCCGGUGAUCUAGCCAUGGGCAGGUUGAAGGUUGGGUAACACUAACUGGAGGACCGAACCGACUAAUGUUGAAAAAUUAGCGGAUGACUUGUGGCUGGGGGUGAAAGGCCAAUCAAACCGGGAGAUAGCUGGUUCUCCCCGAAAGCUAUUUAGGUAGCGCCUCGUGAAUUCAUCUCCGGGGGUAGAGCACUGUUUCGGCAAGGGGGUCAUCCCGACUUACCAACCCGAUGCAAACUGCGAAUACCGGAGAAUGUUAUCACGGGAGACACACGGCGGGUGCUAACGUCCGUCGUGAAGAGGGAAACAACCCAGACCGCCAGCUAAGGUCCCAAAGUCAUGGUUAAGUGGGAAACGAUGUGGGAAGGCCCAGACAGCCAGGAUGUUGGCUUAGAAGCAGCCAUCAUUUAAAGAAAGCGUAAUAGCUCACUGGUCGAGUCGGCCUGCGCGGAAGAUGUAACGGGGCUAAACCAUGCACCGAAGCUGCGGCAGCGACACUAUGUGUUGUUGGGUAGGGGAGCGUUCUGUAAGCCUGUGAAGGUGUACUGUGAGGGUUGCUGGAGGUAUCAGAAGUGCGAAUGCUGACAUAAGUAACGAUAAAGCGGGUGAAAAGCCCGCUCGCCGGAAGACCAAGGGUUCCUGUCCAACGUUAAUCGGGGCAGGGUGAGUCGACCCCUAAGGCGAGGCCGAAAGGCGUAGUCGAUGGGAAACAGGUUAAUAUUCCUGUACUUGGUGUUACUGCGAAGGGGGGACGGAGAAGGCUAUGUUGGCCGGGCGACGGUUGUCCCGGUUUAAGCGUGUAGGCUGGUUUUCCAGGCAAAUCCGGAAAAUCAAGGCUGAGGCGUGAUGACGAGGCACUACGGUGCUGAAGCGACAAAUGCCCUGCUUCCAGGAAAAGCCUCUAAGCAUCAGGUAACAUCAAAUCGUACCCCAAACCGACACAGGUGGUCAGGUAGAGAAUACCAAGGCGCUUGAGAGAACUCGGGUGAAGGAACUAGGCAAAAUGGUGCCGUAACUUCGGGAGAAGGCACGCUGAUAUGUAGGUGAAGCGACUUGCUCGUGGAGCUGAAAUCAGUCGAAGAUACCAGCUGGCUGCAACUGUUUAUUAAAAACACAGCACUGUGCAAACACGAAAGUGGACGUAUACGGUGUGACGCCUGCCCGGUGCCGGAAGGUUAAUUGAUGGGGUUAGCGGUAACGCGAAGCUCUUGAUCGAAGCCCCGGUAAACGGCGGCCGUAACUAUAACGGUCCUAAGGUAGCGAAAUUCCUUGUCGGGUAAGUUCCGACCUGCACGAAUGGCGUAAUGAUGGCCAGGCUGUCUCCACCCGAGACUCAGUGAAAUUGAACUCGCUGUGAAGAUGCAGUGUACCCGCGGCAAGACGGAAAGACCCCGUGAACCUUUACUAUAGCUUGACACUGAACAUUGAGCCUUGAUGUGUAGGAUAGGUGGGAGGCUUUGAAGUGUGGACGCCAGUCUGCAUGGAGCCGACCUUGAAAUACCACCCUUUAAUGUUUGAUGUUCUAACGUGGGCCCCUUACCGGGGUUGCGGACAGUGUCUGGUGGGUAGUUUGACUGGGGCGGUCUCCUCCUAAAGAGUAACGGAGGAGCACGAAGGUUGGCUAAUCCUGGUCGGACAUCAGGAGGUUAGUGCAAUGGCAUAAGCCAGCUUGACUGCGAGCGUGACGGCGCGAGCAGGUGCGAAAGCAGGUCAUAGUGAUCCGGUGGUUCUGAAUGGAAGGGCCAUCGCUCAACGGAUAAAAGGUACUCCGGGGAUAACAGGCUGAUACCGCCCAAGAGUUCAUAUCGACGGCGGUGUUUGGCACCUCGAUGUCGGCUCAUCACAUCCUGGGGCUGAAGUAGGUCCCAAGGGUAUGGCUGUUCGCCAUUUAAAGUGGUACGCGAGCUGGGUUUAGAACGUCGUGAGACAGUUCGGUCCCUAUCUGCCGUGGGCGCUGGAGAACUGAGGGGGGCUGCUCCUAGUACGAGAGGACCGGAGUGGACGCAUCACUGGUGUUCGGGUUGUCAUGCCAAUGGCACUGCCCGGUAGCUAAAUGCGGAAGAGAUAAGUGCUGAAAGCAUCUAAGCACGAAACUUGCCCCGAGAUGAGUUCUCCCUGACUCCUUGAGAGUCCUGAAGGAACGUUGAAGACGACGACGUUGAUAGGCCGGGUGUGUAAGCGCAGCGAUGCGUUGAGCUAACCGGUACUAAUGAACCGUGAGGCUUAACCUU
RNAcentral lists this ribosomal RNA (2904 nucleotides) under Escherichia coli. Its description in RNAcentral is "23S ribosomal RNA". It matches the Rfam family "Bacterial large subunit ribosomal RNA". Lineage: Bacteria; Pseudomonadati; Pseudomonadota; Gammaproteobacteria; Enterobacterales; Enterobacteriaceae. The record is from RNAcentral.